This is a non-coding RNA of Cyanistes caeruleus (blue tit), 1826 nucleotides long. The record is from RefSeq and is a predicted model, not a curated record. Lineage: Eukaryota; Metazoa; Chordata; Aves; Passeriformes; Paridae.
CAGUUCCCUGGCCUCUGCUAAGGGAACAUGUGGGUUUCAUUGGCUGGUGGCAUUCCCCUCAACACCCAGGGAAAAGGUUUACUGGUAAAUAAACACCUAGGAGUCUGUAUAAAAGAUGGAUGUAGCUGGGACAAAUGCCUGGGUUUAUAUACCCAGGUUUUGCUUGUGCACGUGUAACACGUGUACUUGUGUAAAUCUUUACCAGGUACCAGUGUCCCUCAAGAACACUUUGCCCUCACUAUUUGCAGUGCCAGAAUGAAAACACACCAUGGUCUGUCUGGCCCAGCAAACCCUGCCGAGCCUUGUAGAAGUCCUAUCCUCCCAUAUGGGCUCCUUUGUGCCUUGCCACAGAGAACAUGAAAAUGUGCUUUGUUCCAGCCUGAGGCUGACCCUGCCAUGUGACAUCAGGGAUUGAGCUGGAGCUUCAGCCACAGACUGGGGUGGCCACCAUCACCCACAACCAUGGUAUUCUUUCAGACAUAACCAAAACCAUCACAUUUCGUGUGUGAGUAAUUAGGAACAGGGAACUUGUGCUCCUCCCUCUCUGCAGUGCUCAUGACAAAUAGUGAGUGGGAGUAUUUUAAUUUGAUUCUUCAAAUGAUAAAAGUUCAGUUUUGUGUCGUGCCCUAUCCUUAUGGUUGGUGAACCACCUUUACAACCCUGGAGUAUCCAUGUUUGUGCAUGGUUGGAAGUCUUCUCAAAAAACAAAAUUUCAGAAUUUGACCCCAGUGGGACUCACUUGUUCACCCAUUUUCUUAAAACACUGCAGUGGUUGAAUGUCUGGUAGGUAGAGCUGAUGAUAUGAUUUUGAUUAAAUAUAUAUUUGAUUAUAUGUCAGUCUGGUUGUGUUGUUUGCAUUUUGAUUAAUGCCACUGAAGCCAAAAUGCUCUACAGCAAGAAACUUAAUUCAAUUCUUUUUCAAGAAACAGUUUUCUGAAGCCAUUUCUGCCCACAAGGAAGAGGUCCAGGGGGAACUACAAAUAGGUAGGUUUUAUCUAGAAACAGCAUUUUCCCCACAAAUUAACUUUUAAAAAAAACACUUUGAAAGUUUUUGCAUCAUUUCCAAUGGGAAAUGCUACACAGUUGUAAACCCCAGAAGCUGUCAUAGGAUGGAUUUGGAGUUCUGUGGCCACUGGUCCCAUUGGAUCUGCUUCCUUUGCGUGUCUGAGCAUGCUUGGAGGCAGGCAGGGGAGGUUAGACUCUGCUGACUUUCUUGUUUCUGCUUCCACUUUCCUUCCAGCUAUUUCUGUUUCACCCCAUGGAUACAUCUCCUCUCCAGACCUAAUCAACUGCCUUGUUUCCUCAUCCAUGCAGCGUGUGGAAAGCCAUACAGCAAUUCUUCUAGUCAACAGUGGAUUUUAGGAGGAAGUCCUCUUUCAACAUUUUGCUUGUGAAUUCUGUUUUUUAAAGCUAUGAAUGAAAUAAUUUUGGUUUAUAUCCAAUUGGGAAUUUCUAAGAGCUUCAGUUUGUCUCUUCCAGGUGCAGUCCAGCAGAGAUGCACUGAAACCUGCAGAAAAUCCUUCAUUACCUGGAGAUCUGCAUGUGAGCAGCUAGAUGUGGUCUGGGCUGCAUCCGAGCUCUGAGGCAGCACCGUGCUGAAUAAGUCCCUCGCUGUGGGACAGUCCAGGAGUGACACGACUGGCUUUGAAUGAGGAAAAUCCAUCAUUAGUCUGCUUUCAUUAGAAAAUCCAUUAGUCUGCUCUGUGUCCUGCAGGAGUGUGUAUACCAAGGGCGGGACUUUGAAAUUGCGUGACUGAAGUCACUUCAGUCUUUUUCAGUCUCUAGCACGUCUAUAACAAUUGCUUAACCGCAGAUUCAUUCUUUAU